Molecule: ribosomal RNA, 467 nt
Filed under: uncultured bacterium
Lineage: Bacteria
Description: bacterial SSU rRNA
Rfam family: Bacterial small subunit ribosomal RNA
Source: RNAcentral
GAUGAACGCUGGCGGCGUGCCUAAUACAUGCAAGUCGAACGGGGAGUACUAACUUCGGUUUAUACUCCUAGUGGCGAACGGGUGAGUAACGCGUUGGUGACCUGCCCCGAAGAGGGGGAUAACAGUUCGAAAGGACUGCUAAUACCCCAUAAGGUCGUACAGGUUAGAGACUGAACGACUAAAGGAGCAAUCCACUUCGGGAGGGGCCUGCGUCCCAUCAGCUAGUUGGUAAGGUAACGGCCUACCAAGGCGAAGACGGGUAGGGGGCCUGAGAGGGCGGCCCCCCACACUGGCACUGAAACACGGGCCAGACACCUACGGGUGGCAGCAGUAGGGAAUAUUGCACAAUAGGCGAAAGCCUGAUGCAGCAACGCCGCGUGCGCGAUGAAGGCCUUAGGGUUGUAAAGCGCUUUUCUGAGGGAAGAGAAAGGACGGUACCUCAGGAAUAAGUCUCGGCUAACUACGUG